RNAcentral lists this non-coding RNA (47 nucleotides) under Desulfuromonas soudanensis. RNAcentral describes it as "Guanidine-II sequence". It matches the Rfam family "Guanidine-II riboswitch aptamer (mini-ykkC)". From Rfam's summary of the family: Simpler in structure and has fewer highly conserved nucleotide positions than the ykkC-yxkD leader. Despite this each of its two stem-loop structures directly bind free guanidine. Lineage: Bacteria; Pseudomonadati; Thermodesulfobacteriota; Desulfuromonadia; Desulfuromonadales; Desulfuromonadaceae. The record is from Rfam by way of RNAcentral.
AAGUGGGGACGGCCUCACCUCUUUAUAAAUAACCGGGGACGGCCCCG